CGCGCUGGCCCGUGUACAAGUCUCCUGGAAAGGAGCGUCCUAGAGGGUGAGAAUCCCGUCUUUGACACGGACUACCAGUGCUAUGUGAUGCGCUCUCGUCGAGUCGAGUUGCUUGGGAACGCAGCUCAAAACGGGUGGUAAAUUCCAUCUAAAGCUAAAUACAGGCGAGAGACCGAUAGCGAACAAGUACCGUGAGGGAAAGAUGAAAAGAACUUUGGAAAGAGAGUUAAACCGUACGUGAAAUUGCUGAAAGGGAAACGCUUGAUGUCAGUCGCGUCGGCCGGGGAUCAUCCUUGCUUCAUCGCUCGGUGUACUUCCUGGUCGACGGGUCAGCAUCGGUUUCGGUCGCCGUACAAGGGCGAGGGGAACGUGGCACUCCUCGGAGUGCGUUAUAGCCCUUCGUCGUAUGCGGUGGUCGGGACCGAGGAACUCAGCACGGCAUCACGGCC
This 449-nucleotide ribosomal RNA is filed under the name Octaviania sp. SOC 647. RNAcentral's name for it is "eukaryotic LSU rRNA". It matches the Rfam family "Eukaryotic large subunit ribosomal RNA", at positions 166 to 615 of the family's 3401-position model. RNAcentral also lists the same sequence under 1 other name. Lineage: Eukaryota; Fungi; Basidiomycota; Agaricomycetes; Boletales; Boletaceae. The record is from RNAcentral.